This 137-nucleotide long non-coding RNA is filed under the name Ictidomys tridecemlineatus (thirteen-lined ground squirrel). Its description in RNAcentral is "lncRNA (ENSSTOG00000029647.1)". Lineage: Eukaryota; Metazoa; Chordata; Mammalia; Rodentia; Sciuridae. The record is from RNAcentral.
GCACCCAAGAGCAGCAGAGAAGGGUUAGAAGGAUGUUGUGGAAAAGGGACCGUGACAGGAUGAAAAUUUUCAUAAUGAAAAAUGAAAACAAACCCCCAAGGCCCAGGUAAUCCUCAGUUUCCUCAUCUGAAGAGGAC